This 253-nucleotide long non-coding RNA is filed under the name Polistes fuscatus (common paper wasp). RNAcentral's name for it is "uncharacterized LOC122517940". Lineage: Eukaryota; Metazoa; Arthropoda; Insecta; Hymenoptera; Vespidae. The record is from RNAcentral.
GGAAUUUCUUCUUUUUCUUUGGGAUCUGGACCCAUGGGAACCGCCUUGAAUCUCACUGAACAAGAUAUGAAGAAUACACAUAUAAUUUCAAUCAGUCUACAAACACAUGCGAGUAAUGGUAAGUAUCUGAUUUUUAUUGAUACUGUGCAGAUCAUGGAGACUUUCUGAUAUAACAUUCUGGAAAGUAGGAUGGUAGGAUUGUAAAAAUGGUAUGAGUAACUGGUAAUAUGAAGAAGAAGAAGAAGAAGAAGAA